UGCAAUCAUACCAGCACUAAUGCACUGGAUCCCAUUAAAACUCCGCAGUUAAGCGUGCUUGGGCGAGAGUAGUACUAGGAUGGGUGACCCCCUGGGAAGUCCUCGUGUUGCA
Molecule: ribosomal RNA, 112 nt
Filed under: Rhododendron griersonianum
Lineage: Eukaryota; Viridiplantae; Streptophyta; Magnoliopsida; Ericales; Ericaceae
Source: RNAcentral